This 528-nucleotide ribosomal RNA is filed under the name Triticum aestivum (bread wheat). RNAcentral's name for it is "partial small subunit ribosomal RNA". The record is from RNAcentral. Lineage: Eukaryota; Viridiplantae; Streptophyta; Magnoliopsida; Poales; Poaceae.
AUGUUUGAUGGCAUAAUCAGAACUUUGACAGAUGUUCGGUAUAUUCCGAAGAUGAAGAGAAAUCUUAUUUCUACGAGUGCCCUUGAUGCAAAGGGGUACAAGUAUUCAGGUGGAGAUAGUGUUUUGAAAGUCACCAAAGGUUCCCUUGUUGUGAUGAAAGGUGAUUUAAGUUUGACCAAUGGUCUUUAUUACCUUCGGGGUUCUACAGUUUUAGGUAACGGUACUCCAGCUAUUUCAAAGAAAUCUGAUUGUGAUGCUGCUAACCUUUGGCAUAUGUGUCUUGGACAUAUGAGUGAACUUGGUUUGGCAGAGUUAAAUAACAGAGGUCUUCUUGAUGGAUAUGAACCUGGUAAAUUGAAAUUUUGUGAGCAUUGUAUCUUCGGCAAGCACAAGAGGGUGAAGUUCAAUACUUCGACCCAUACAACUGAAGGUAUUAUUGAUUAUGUGCAUUCUGAUUUAUGGGAACCAUCUCGCAAGAAGUCAUUAGGUGGUGCAAGUUACAUGCUUACUAUUAUUGAUGAUUAUUAG